Molecule: ribosomal RNA, 369 nt
Filed under: uncultured bacterium
Lineage: Bacteria
Description: bacterial SSU rRNA
Rfam family: Bacterial small subunit ribosomal RNA
Source: RNAcentral
AUAACGUAGCGAAAGUUACGCUAAUACCGCAUAUUCUGUGAGCAGGAAAGCAGGGGAUCGCAAGACCUUGCGCUCUGGGAGCGGCCGAUGUCGGAUUAGCUAGUUGGUGGGGUAAAGGCCUACCAAGGCGACGAUCCGUAGCGGGUCUGAGAGGAUGAUCCGCCACACUGGGACUGAGACACGGCCCAGACUCCUACGGGAGGCAGCAGUGGGGAAUUUUGGACAAUGGGCGAAAGCCUGAUCCAGCCAUGCCGCGUGAGUGAAGAAGGCCUUCGGGUUGUAAAGCUCUUUCGGUGGGGAAGAAAUUGCAUGGGCUAAUACCCUGUGUAGAUGACGGUACCUGGAGAAGAAGCACCGGCUAACUACGUG